Molecule: non-coding RNA, 127 nt
Organism: Xyrichtys novacula (pearly razorfish)
Lineage: Eukaryota; Metazoa; Chordata; Actinopteri; Labriformes; Labridae
Source: the annotation of a GenBank genome assembly
UCUUUCCUUGUCAUGGGGUGAGAGAGCUGCUCAAUGAACGUGUAGUGAGAGCGGCCCUGCUGACACCAUCACAACACUUGAGCACCACCUGAGCUUCUGCUCGGACCAUGGUGCAAUUUUUGGAAAC